This 223-nucleotide ribosomal RNA is filed under the name uncultured bacterium. Its description in RNAcentral is "partial 16S ribosomal RNA". It matches the Rfam family "Bacterial small subunit ribosomal RNA", at positions 328 to 539 of the family's 1533-position model. The record is from RNAcentral.
ACGCUCGACACCUACGGGGGGCAGCAGUAGGGAAUCUUCCACAAUGGACGCAAGUCUGAUGGAGCAACGCCGCGUGAGUGAAGAAGGUCUUCGGAUCGUAAAACUCUGUUGUUAGAGAAGAACACGAGUGAGAGUAACUGUUCAUUCGAUGACGGUAUCUAACCAGCAAGUCACGGCUAACUACGUGCCAGUAGCCGCGGUAAUCUGAGCGGGCUGGCAAGGC